RNAcentral lists this ribosomal RNA (279 nucleotides) under uncultured bacterium. RNAcentral describes it as "partial 16S ribosomal RNA". It matches the Rfam family "Bacterial small subunit ribosomal RNA", at positions 506 to 784 of the family's 1533-position model. The record is from RNAcentral.
UGCCAGCCGCCGCGGUAAUACGUAGGGAGCAAGCGUUGUCCGGAAUUACUGGGCGUAAAGGGCGUGUAGGCGGAAAUUUAAGUAAGAUGUGAAAACUCCAGGCUCAACCUGGAGACUGCAUUUUAAACUGGAUUUCUUGAGGGCAGGAGAGGAAAGUGGAAUUCCUAGUGUAGCGGUGAAAUGCGUAGAUAUUAGGAGGAACAUCAGUGGCGAAGGCGACUUUCUGGGCUAAGACUGACGCUGAGGUACGAAAGCGUGGGGAGCAAGCAGGAUUAGAUA